UUGGCGGACGGGUGAGUAACGCGUGGGUAACCUGCCUCACACUGGGGGAUAACACUUAGAAAUAGGUGCUAAUACCGCAUAAGCGCACGGGACUGCAUGGUCUUGUGUGAAAAACUCCGGUGGUGUGAGAUGGACCCGCGUCUGAUUAGCUGGUUGGCGGGGUAACGGCCCACCAAGGCGACGAUCAGUAGCCGGACUGAGAGGUUGAACGGCCACAUUGGGACUGAGACACGGCCCAGACUCCUACGGAAGGCAGCAG
RNAcentral lists this ribosomal RNA (259 nucleotides) under uncultured bacterium. RNAcentral describes it as "partial 16S ribosomal RNA". It matches the Rfam family "Bacterial small subunit ribosomal RNA", at positions 95 to 354 of the family's 1533-position model. The record is from RNAcentral.